CCUACGGGUGGCAGCAGUGAGGAAUAUUGGUCAAUGGGCGCGAGCCUGAACCAGCCAAGUAGCGUGAAGGAUGAAUGCCCUACGGGUUGUAAACUUCUUUUAUAAAGGAAUAAAGUGAGUCACGUGUGCCUCUUUGUAUGUACUUUACGAAUAAGGAACGGCUAACGCCGUGCCAGCAGCCGCGGUAAUACGGAGGAUCCGAGCGUUAUCCGGAUUGAUUGGGUUUAAAGGGAGCGUAGAUGGGUUGUUAAGUCAGUUGUGAAAGUUUGCGGCUCAACCGUAAAAUUGCAAUUGAUACUGGCAGUCUUGAGUACAGUUGAGGUAAGCGGAAUUCGUGGUGUAGCAGUGAAAUGCUUAGAUAUCACGAAGAACUCCGAUUGCGAAGGCAGCUUACUAA
RNAcentral lists this ribosomal RNA (397 nucleotides) under uncultured bacterium. RNAcentral's name for it is "partial 16S ribosomal RNA". It matches the Rfam family "Bacterial small subunit ribosomal RNA", at positions 338 to 732 of the family's 1533-position model. The record is from RNAcentral.